RNAcentral lists this ribosomal RNA (442 nucleotides) under uncultured bacterium. RNAcentral describes it as "partial 16S ribosomal RNA". It matches the Rfam family "Bacterial small subunit ribosomal RNA", at positions 338 to 795 of the family's 1533-position model. The record is from RNAcentral.
CCUACGGGCGACAGCAGUAGGGAAUCUUUCACAAUGGGCGAAAGCCUGAUGGAGCAACGCCGCGUGCAGGAUGAAGGCCUUCGGGUUGUAAACUGCUUUUAUAAGCGAGAAAUAUGAUGGUAACUUAUGAAUAAGGAUCGGCUAACUACGUGCCAGCAGCCGCGGUCAUACGUAGGAUCCGAGCAUUAUCCGGAGUAACUGGGUGUAAAGAGUUGCGUAGGUGGCAUAAUAAGUAGCUAGUGAAAUCUGGUGGCUCAACCAUUCAGACUAUUAGCUAAACUGUUAAGCUCGAGACCGUUAGGGGUAACUGGAAUGUCUAGUGUAGGAGUGAAAUCCGUAGAUAUUAGAAGGAACACCAAUAGCGUAGGCAGGUUGCUGGGACGGUUCUGACACUAAGGCACGAAGGCGUAGGGAGCAAACGGGAUUAGAUACCCCUGUAGUC